This 335-nucleotide ribosomal RNA is filed under the name uncultured bacterium. RNAcentral describes it as "bacterial SSU rRNA". It matches the Rfam family "Bacterial small subunit ribosomal RNA", at positions 335 to 672 of the family's 1533-position model. The record is from RNAcentral.
ACUCCUACGGGAGGCAGCAGUAAGGAAUAUUGCGCAAUGGGCGACAGCCUGACGCAGCGACGCCGCGUGGGGGAUGAAGGUCUUCGGAUUGUAAACCCCUUUCGGCAGGGAAGAUGGAACGGGCAACCGUUCGGACGGUACCUGCAGAAGCAGCCACGGCUAACUUCGUGCCAGCAGCCGCGGUAAUACGAAGGUGGCAAGCGUUGUUCGGAUUUACUGGGCGUACAGGGAGCGUAGGCGGUUGGGUAAGCCCUCCGUGAAAUCUCCGGGCCUAACCCGGAAAGUGCGGAGGGGACUGCUCGGCUAGAGGAUGGGAGAGGAGCGCGGAAUUCCCG